Long non-coding RNA from Bombyx mori (domestic silkworm), 459 nucleotides. RefSeq lists it as uncharacterized. Lineage: Eukaryota; Metazoa; Arthropoda; Insecta; Lepidoptera; Bombycidae. The transcript has 2 exons. The record is from RefSeq and is a predicted model, not a curated record.
AAAUAAUGUGUGUACUUAUCUAUGCAGAAACAUAAUUUAUCUUUUUAAAUAAAAAAAUAAACAUUUUAUUUUUAAAAAACUCUGCGAAACUUCAUGCGGAUUGUGUUUCAUAAUUGUAAUUUUAGUUUUUUAAGUGUGUGAAAAAAUUGUUUUCCUGAUAGCGUGCUGUAACUUUGAUGUGGCUUUGAAAUUGAGAUUAAAAAUAGUUUAUUUGCUCUACUAAUGGAUACUUACUUAUCGUUGAAAACAAAUCAUUGUGUCAAUUUAGAAUGUGUAUAUCUUUGUCCUAAAUUUAAGUUAAAUCGAUUAUAUUCUCACGACAGCUGGACUUAUGCGCACAGAAAUGUAUACAGAGGCCAAAAAAUGCCUAAAUAUUUUAUACAAAAGUGCAUGAAAAGACAUGGCGGCUUCCUGUAGUGUGGGUAUUUUAAUGUACAAAAUAAAACCUGAUUGAUUGAA